This 412-nucleotide ribosomal RNA is filed under the name uncultured bacterium. RNAcentral describes it as "bacterial SSU rRNA". It matches the Rfam family "Bacterial small subunit ribosomal RNA", at positions 356 to 773 of the family's 1533-position model. The record is from RNAcentral.
GGGGAAUUUUGGACAAUGGACGAAAGUCUGAUCCAGCGACGCCGCGUGAAGGACGAAGGUUUUCGGAUCGUAAACUUCUUUUGCAGGGGACGAAUACGCGCAAGCGUUUGACAGUACUCUGCGAAUAAGCCACGGCUAACUACGUGCCAGCAGCCGCGGUAAUACGUAGGUGGCGAGCGUUACUCGGAAUUACUAGGCGUAAAGCGCGUGUAGGCGGGAGCUUAAGUCUGCUGUUAAAUCUAAGGGCCUAACCCUUAAAUGCCGGCGGAUACUGGGUUUCUUGAAUUCGGUAGAGGUAACUGGAAUUCCAGGUGUAGCGGUGAAAUGCGUAGAUAUCUGGAAGAACGCCAAAGGCGAAAGCAGGUUACUGGGCCGCAAUUGACGCUGAGACGCGAAAGCUAGGGGAGCAAAC